GACGAACGCUGGCGGCGUGCUUAACACAUGCAAGUCGAACGGAAAGGCCCUGCUUUUGUGGGGUGCUCGAGUGGCGAACGGGUGAGUAACACGUGAGUAACCUGCCCUUGACUUUGGGAUAACUUCAGGAAACUGGGGCUAAUACCGGAUAGGAGCUCCUGCUGCAUGGUGGGGGUUGGAAAGUUUCGGCGGUUGGGGAUGGACUCGCGGCUUAUCAGCUUGUUGGUGGGGUAGUGGCUUACCAAGGCUUUGACGGGUAGCCGGCAUGGGAGGGGGAACGGCCACAUUGGGACUGAGAUACGGCCCAGACUCCUACGGGAGGCAGCAGUGGGGAAUAUUGCACAAUGGGCGGAAGCCGGAUGAAGCAACGCCGCGUGCGGGAUGACGGCCUUCGGGUUGUAAACCGCUUUCGCCUGUGACGAAGCGUGAGUGACGGUAAUGGGUAAAGAAGCACCGGCUAACUACGUG
RNAcentral lists this ribosomal RNA (468 nucleotides) under uncultured bacterium. Its description in RNAcentral is "partial 16S ribosomal RNA". It matches the Rfam family "Bacterial small subunit ribosomal RNA", at positions 28 to 507 of the family's 1533-position model. The record is from RNAcentral.